RNAcentral lists this ribosomal RNA (793 nucleotides) under uncultured bacterium. RNAcentral's name for it is "bacterial SSU rRNA". It matches the Rfam family "Bacterial small subunit ribosomal RNA", at positions 8 to 796 of the family's 1533-position model. The record is from RNAcentral.
AGAGUUUGAUCCUGGCUCAGAUUGAACGCUGGCGGCAGGCCUAACACAUGCAAGUCGAGCGGUAGAGAGAAGCUUGCUUCUCUUGAGAGCGGCGGACGGGUGAGUAAUGCCUAGGAAUCUGCCUGGUAGGGGGGGAUAACGUUCGGAAACGGACGCCAAUACCGCAUACGUCCUACGGGAGAAAGCAGGGGACCUUCGGGCCUUGCGCUAUCAGAUGAGCCUAGGUCGGAUUAGCUAGUUGGUGGGGUAAUGGCUCACCAAGGCGACGAUCCGUAACUGGUCUGAGAGGAUGAUCAGUCACACUGGAACUGAGACACGGUCCAGACUCCUACGGGAGGCAGCAGUGGGGAAUAUUGGACAAUGGGCGAAAGCCUGAUCCAGCCAUGCCGCGUGUGUGAAGAAGGUCUUCGGAUUGUAAAGCACUUUAAGUUGGGAGGAAGGGUUGUAGAUUAAUACUCUGCAAUUUUGACGUUACCGACAGAAUAAGCACCGGCUAACUCUGUGCCAGCAGCCGCGGUAAUACAGAGGGUGCAAGCGUUAAUCGGAAUUACUGGGCGUAAAGCGCGCGUAGGUGGUCAGUUAAGUUGGAUGUGAAAUCCCCGGGCUCAACCUGGGAACUGCAUUCAAAACUGACUGACUAGAGUAUGGUAGAGGGUGGUGGAAUUUCCUGUGUAGCGGUGAAAUGCGUAGAUAUAGGAAGGAACACCAGUGGCGAAGGCGACCACCUGGACUGAUACUGACACUGAGGUGCGAAAGCGUGGGGAGCAAACAGGAUUAAAUACCCUGGUAGUCC